AGAGUUUGAUCCUGGCUCAGGACGAACGCUGGCGGCGUGCUUAACACAUGCAAGUCGAACGGUAAGGCCCCAGCUUGCUGGGGUACACGAGUGGCGAACGGGUGAGUAACACGUGGGUGACCUACCCUGCACUUCGGGAUAAGCCUGGGAAACUGGGUCUAAUACCGGAUAGGACUACACCGUGAGGGUGUGGUGGAAAGUUUUUCGGUGCAGGAUGGGCCCGCGGCCUAUCAGCUUGUUGGUGGGGUAAUGGCCUACCAAGGCGGCGACGGGUAGCCGGCCUGAGAGGGUGGACGGCCACAUUGGGACUGAGACACGGCCCAGACUCCUACGGGAGGCAGCAGUGGGGAAUAUUGCACAAUGGGCGGAAGCCUGAUGCAGCGACGCCGCGUGGGGGAUGACGGCCUUCGGGUUGUAAACUCCUUUCACCAUCGACGAAGGUUUUCUGACGGUAGAUGGAGAAGAAGCACCGGCUAACUACGUGCCAGCAGCCGCGGUAAUACGUAGGGUGCGAGCGUUGUCCGGAAUUACUGGGCGUAAAGAGCUCGUAGGUGGUUUGUCGCGUCGUCUGUGAAAUUCCGGGGCUUAACUCCGGGCGUGCAGGCGAUACGGGCAUAACUUGAGUACUGUAGGGGAGACUGGAAUUCCUGGUGUAGCGGUGAAAUGCGCAGAUAUCAGGAGGAACACCGGUGGCGAAGGCGGGUCUCUGGGCAGUAACUGACGCUGAGGAGCGAAAGCAUGGGUAGCGAACAGGAUUAGAUACCCUGGUAGUCCAUGCCGUAAACGGUGGGCGCUAGGUGUAGGGUCUUCCACGACUUCUGUGCCGUAGCUAACGCAUUAAGCGCCCCGCCUGGGGAGUACGGGCCGCAGGCUAAACUCAAAGGAAUUGACGGGGGCCCG
This 900-nucleotide ribosomal RNA is filed under the name uncultured Corynebacterium sp. Its description in RNAcentral is "bacterial SSU rRNA". It matches the Rfam family "Bacterial small subunit ribosomal RNA", at positions 8 to 923 of the family's 1533-position model. The record is from RNAcentral. Lineage: Bacteria; Bacillati; Actinomycetota; Actinomycetes; Mycobacteriales; Corynebacteriaceae.